Long non-coding RNA from Calidris pugnax (ruff), 275 nucleotides. RefSeq lists it as uncharacterized. The transcript has 3 exons. NCBI's taxonomy places the organism in Eukaryota, Metazoa, Chordata, Aves, Charadriiformes, Scolopacidae. The record is from RefSeq and is a predicted model, not a curated record.
UGACAAAUGACUUUGUGAAGGGAUAAGAGAAAGAGCUUCCACAGUGACAUUUAAAUUGGAACCCAUGUUUGAUGGCAUGCAGAUGAUUUAAAUACAUGUCACCAAUGCACAGCUAUAGAGGAGGAGGUUUGAAUUAAAUUCCACCACUGACAUUUGGGAACAUUUGGAUCCUACCCGGCUGUGAUGGCUUGUGCCCCACUUGAUUUACUGGUGAAGCAGAGGUUCUUAAGGGGUGUGUGUGUGUGUUAAUGCUAUUAUUCAUUAGCAGCAGAGCC